RNAcentral lists this ribosomal RNA (595 nucleotides) under Marinobacter sp. RNAcentral describes it as "bacterial SSU rRNA". It matches the Rfam family "Bacterial small subunit ribosomal RNA", at positions 47 to 633 of the family's 1533-position model. Lineage: Bacteria; Pseudomonadati; Pseudomonadota; Gammaproteobacteria; Pseudomonadales; Marinobacteraceae. The record is from RNAcentral.
CAGCUUACCAUGCAGUCGAGCGGUAACAGGGGGUGCUUGCACCCCGCUGACGAGCGGCGGACGGGUGAGUAAUGCAUAGGAAUCUGCCCAGUAGUGGGGGAUAGCCCGGGGAAACCCGGAUUAAUACCGCAUACGUCCUUCGGGAGAAAGCAGGGGAUCUUCGGACCUUGCGCUAUUGGAUGAGCCUAUGUCGGAUUAGCUAGUUGGUGGGGUAAAGGCCUACCAAGGCGACGAUCCGUAGCUGGUCUGAGAGGAUGAUCAGCCACAUCGGGACUGAGACACGGCCCGAACUCCUACGGGAGGCAGCAGUGGGGAAUAUUGGACAAUGGGGGCAACCCUGAUCCAGCCAUGCCGCGUGUGUGAAGAAGGCUUUCGGGUUGUAAAGCACUUUCAGUGAGGAGGAAAACCUUCUGGUUAAUACCCAUGAGGCUUGACGUUACUCACAGAAGAAGCACCGGCUAACUCCGUGCCAGCAGCCGCGGUAAUACGGAGGGUGCAAGCGUUAAUCGGAAUUACUGGGCGUAAAGCGCGCGUAGGUGGUUUGAUAAGCGAGAUGUGAAAGCCCCGGGCUUAACCUGGGAACGGCAUUUCGAAC